Octopus sinensis (East Asian common octopus) is the source of this 1470-nucleotide long non-coding RNA. RefSeq lists it as uncharacterized. The record is from RefSeq and is a predicted model, not a curated record. NCBI's taxonomy places the organism in Eukaryota, Metazoa, Mollusca, Cephalopoda, Octopoda, Octopodidae. The transcript has 3 exons.
UUAUUUUGUUAUCCAAGAAUAUAUAUUUAAAAUUUUGAAAAUAAAUCUGGAAAUUCGUUGACAUGCAUACAGAAAGAUUUUUAAAAUAUCAAAAAUGCUAAAUAUAGUCUCAUAUCUUCUGGGUUUGUUUUCUUUUCUGGUCAUAUCAUACGUACAUUCGAUGCUUUCAUCAACCAUAUUCAGCAUAUUAAUGAUGUUUCAUUGAAAAAAUUCAGUUAUGAGGAAUAGCUUAUGAUAGACCGAGCUAAAACAAAAUAAAAAGAAAACUUUAAAUAGAAAAUAAGUAGAAAGCUGUCUGCAUGGUUCGAGCCAUGCAUCUCCUGUUACCCAAACAGACGCGCUAUGAAUUGUCUCAAAGCAUUCCUCGCAUGUGUCAAGGCUGCUUUUUAUCUCUCCAAAGUCUGUAAGAUAAGUAGGCCAUCUCCUUUCACUUCCUCAUUCGACUAUAAAAGCUGGUCUCAAGAUCUACCUCAGAUGAAUUCAAUAUUUUUGUAUUCGUAAACUGGCACCUGGAGUUUGCUACGUAAUUUCUGCAUCCAUUAUAAAAUGUUAAUUUUCACCGGAAUAUGUACUAACGUUACGAGUUUCCUCAUAAUAGAUUACCAUUCUACAUAGCCGAAAGCAAAACUUAUAGACUCAGAAAAAACGGUAACUUGCUCUGAUUAGGUUGAAAACCAUUUCAAGUCAGUAAUACGCUAAUAUCCAUAGAAAAUGCAUGAAUGUCACAAUUUUGCAUUACUUUCCUCUAAAAAUAUAUUGUACCAGUAUUUAUGUGUUCACGUAUUUUGUCUGUACUUUGCAAUCAGCAUAUUGACUAUUCCGCAUGACAUGAAUUAAUAUUUUUAAUAGAAUUGCACGCCAUGUUCUUGAUGUUAUAAAUGGUCAAUUAUUGUGAUGAUAAAUUCAUAAGAAAACCAAUUUUACUCAUUUCAUUAUUGCAAAUAAACUUAGAUAUCUUCUCCACCACUUUCACACAUGCACAAAUAUAUGUGUCGGCAAAAAUACGAGCCUAGGUAUCUUAAUUAUAAGCGUGUGAAAUAGUUCACUUCCUGUAAUGACAUACUUGUGCAGUAAUAUCAUUGUACUAAGCAAAUUUAUAAAUAGGAAGCUUACAAAGAAGCAAAUAUAGAUAGAUAGAUAGAUAGAUAUAUAGAUAGAUAAAUAGAUACGUUCUUUUUUAUAUAAUUUCAAAAUGAGAUGGGCAAUGUUUAAUCAGGUAUGUAGGAAAAUCAUAGCGAUUAACAAGCAACAUUUACGUAUAGUGUGACCUAGUGCUGGAAACUCUUUAUUUAAACUCUUGCUGAACUAAAUUCACGGAUUAAUUUUGAUUUCCAUUUGAACGGCUAAAUCACUUGAAAUUUAAUGUCAUUACAUAUUGAAGUCUUUAUGCAUGCGUUGAUAAUCAAUACUGUUACAUAUUCUUUUUAUUAUACCUAAUAUGUGACAUGUUUAACGUUGUAUUUCUUCGCU